GGCCUCAUAGCUCAGCCGGUAGAGCAUGCGCUGUACAAAAGCGUGGGUGGCGUCCAUGCGUGCGUUCGAAUCCCACCGAGGCCA
RNAcentral lists this transfer RNA (84 nucleotides) under Echinostoma caproni. It matches the Rfam family "tRNA". Rfam says of the family: Transfer RNA (tRNA) molecules are approximately 80 nucleotides in length. The record is from Rfam by way of RNAcentral. Lineage: Eukaryota; Metazoa; Platyhelminthes; Trematoda; Plagiorchiida; Echinostomatidae.